Molecule: ribosomal RNA, 470 nt
Filed under: uncultured organism
Description: partial 16S ribosomal RNA
Rfam family: Bacterial small subunit ribosomal RNA
Source: RNAcentral
ACUCCUACGGGAGGCAGCAGUGGGGAAUUUUGGACAAUGGGCGAAAGCCUGAUCCAGCAAUGCCGCGUGCAGGAUGAAGGCCUUCGGGUUGUAAACUGCUUUUGUACGGAACGAAAAAGCUCCUUCUAAUACAGGGGGCCCAUGACGGUACCGUAAGAAUAAGCACCGGCUAACUACGUGCCAGCAGCCGCGGUAAUACGUAGGGUGCGAGCGUUAAUCGGAAUUACUGGGCGUAAAGCGUGCGCAGGCGGUUAUGUAAGACAGAUGUGAAAUCCCCGGGCUCAACCUGGGAACUGCAUUUGUGACUGCAUGGCUAGAGUACGGUAGAGGGGGAUGGAAUUCCGCGUGGAGCAGUGAAAUGCGUAGAUAUGCGGAGGAACACCGAUGGCGAAGGCAAUCCCCUGGACCUGUACUGACGCUCAUGCACGAAAGCGUGGGGAGCAAACAGGAUUAGAUACCCUAGUAGUCCC